GCAGCAGGCACGCAAAUUACCCACUCCCGGCACGGGGAGGUAGUGACAAAAAAUAACGAUACGGGACUCUAUUGAGGCCCCGUAAUCGGAAUGAGUACACUUUAAAUCCUUUAACAAGGAUCCAUUGGAGGGCAAGUCUGGUGCCAGCAGCCGCGGUAAUUCCAGCUCCAAUAGCGUAUAUUAAAGUUGUUGCGGUUAAAAAGCUCGUAGUUGGUUCUGCGUGCCACGCUGUCGGUUCGCCGCCUGUCGGUGUAACUGGCAUGUCGUGGCAUGUCCUGUCGGUGGUAAACAGUAUUCCCAGUGCAGCGUAGGCUAUUAAUAGCCGAAGUUUGUUCUGUGUGAAUGCUGUUUACCGAUUCCUACUUCGGUGCUCUUAAACGAGUGUCGAGGUAGGCCGACACGUUCACUUUGAACAAAUUAGAGUGCUUAAAGCAGGCUGAAAUAUCUGCCUGAAUAGUGGUGCAUGGAAUGAUAAAAUAGGACCUCGGUUCUAUUUUGUUGGUUUUAGGAAUAUGAGGUAAUGAUCAAUGUGGACUGGCGGGGGCAUUCGUAUUGCGACGUUAGAGGUGAAAUUCUUGGAUCGUCGCAAGACGCACUAAAGCGAAAGCAUUUGCCAAGUAUGUCUUAAUUGAUCAAGAACGAAAGUUAGAGGUUCGAAGGCGAUCAGAUACCGCCCUAGUUCUAACCAUAAACGAUGCCAGCCAGCGAUCCGCCGAUGUUCCUUUAAUGACUCGGCGGGGAGCUUCCGCCCGGGAAACCAAAGCUUUUGGGUUCCGGGGGAAGUAUGGUUGCAAAGCUGAAACUUAAAGGAAUUGACGGAAGGGCACCACCAGGAGUGGAGCCUGCGGCUUAAUUUGACUCAACACGGGAAACCUCA
RNAcentral lists this ribosomal RNA (877 nucleotides) under Rodepirea lobata. Its description in RNAcentral is "SSU rRNA". It matches the Rfam family "Eukaryotic small subunit ribosomal RNA", at positions 425 to 1217 of the family's 1831-position model. The record is from RNAcentral. Lineage: Eukaryota; Metazoa; Arthropoda; Insecta; Hemiptera; Reduviidae.